This 83-nucleotide microRNA precursor is filed under the name Hippoglossus hippoglossus (Atlantic halibut). Its description in RNAcentral is "microRNA hhi-mir-7794 precursor". The record is from miRBase by way of RNAcentral. Lineage: Eukaryota; Metazoa; Chordata; Actinopteri; Pleuronectiformes; Pleuronectidae.
UUUGUUCACUGCAGAGUGAAUGUGCUCUAGAAUCCAGGUAUAAUCCCACUGGGUUCUAGCACAUUGUCUUUGUAGGGUACAGA